Molecule: non-coding RNA, 23 nt
Filed under: Gallus gallus (chicken)
Lineage: Eukaryota; Metazoa; Chordata; Aves; Galliformes; Phasianidae
Also listed under: 2 other names
Source: RNAcentral
AGCUUGACUCUAGUCUGGCACGG